UCGCCCUUUUUCGCUUCUUAGAUAUCUCUUUAGCUUCAGUUGCUCCGAAUUCUUUUAGGUUUUUGAUAGGGUUCCUCUCUCUUUGCCACGUAGUUGAGGUUCAGCCAUCCCUCUCCCUGUUUAGGCACUUUUAUACCUUCAAACGUCACCCUUCGGUGAAGGACUGGUGGUAUUUCUCCCCUCAGUUCGGCAAGAAGGGGUUGCUGAAAGGGGCUCCCUCUUCAAUCCACAACUGGAAGGGGAAAUACCUCUUCGUCCACUGC
This 263-nucleotide long non-coding RNA is filed under the name Elaeis guineensis (African oil palm). Its description in RNAcentral is "long non-coding RNA (EGUI_LNC052008)". Lineage: Eukaryota; Viridiplantae; Streptophyta; Magnoliopsida; Arecales; Arecaceae. The record is from RNAcentral.